UGGCAAUCUAUAGCACAGACAGGAGAGCCAAGCACAGAUGGCUAACCCAAUCAGAGUCCACAACUCUGACAGCAGGACCAAUCACAGAGAGAUUGAGCAGGGCCAGUCAGAAGACAAAUUAUAACUCGCAACAGACUGAGCAGACCCAGUAAGGUCGAAAUAAGAGUUCCAUACCACGGCCUGGGCUGCAAUCUGCCAGACUCAUCCCAGUGCAGGUCGUUGGAGCAGCAGCUCCUCAUUUAUCUAAUUUAAUUAAUGGACAGUUAGAUAAUUCAAGAGCUUAACAGCACCACAAUCCUGCAACGGGGUCGUCUGUAAGGCCUGUGAAAAUCCCUGCACGACAGGCCUUUUGGGGCCAGAAAAAAACACUUGCUAGUCCAGUAUAAACACAGGGAGUUCUGCCUUUUCCUGCAAAAGAAAAGCUUACAGUGCUCACGCAUUUGUGUUCCAGCUCAAAGUACCAAAACAGCAGCAGAGACGGUGUGAUGUUGCCAAUUUUCUCUCUGUUGGUGCAGCCACUUCCCCAUGCAAUUUCCUCAGUGAAGCACCGAAGGACAUCGCCUGUGACCACUGCAGACACUGAGUCAAGGCCAGCGGCUGGGGGCUCGCCGGCCACUGCUGUCCAGCCCCAGGGAAGCAGCAGCAUGGCAGGAAGACUGAACAAGGCACAGCAACAAGAACAGAACGCCCACAUACGAUUCUGAACAGCGGAACUGACCUCUGUGGUUCAGAGCUCUCCUUUUUCCAAGACAUUUGUAAUCUGGGAUAUCAGGUUUUAGAGGGCUGCUUUCCACACCCAGCCCCUGGGUCUGCUCCUGUGCACAGGAGGUCCUGAGCUUUCUAAACUCAAGCAGCAUUUGAAAUUGCAUGAUGCUUCGGGGCUUCAGGGUCCCAUUAUGCAGACUGGGCUGCAACCUUGAGGACAGCUGUUCACACUGUAGUCACUGGUUUACAGGAAGUACACUGCGUAACACAACACAGAAUCAGCAUGAUGAUUACCAACAAGUGACAUCUACAGUACUGCAGCCUUUCGUGAGAAACCAGGCACUGGUGGAGUCAGAGUCUGCCGUCGGAUCAGCCUUGGAGAAUUCCUCAGAAAUUCACUCAUUAACACCUCCAGAGCCUAGAGCCAGAUCACUAAACGUGUCCUGGUGGACUGCAGGCCUGUGGGCGAAACCCUGGAGGAGACCUGUGGACAGUGCAGGGCCCAGCCCAGCUGACGGAGCUGUUACUGCGGAAAUAAAGCAGGACCAGCUCGUUAAUUCCGCAGAGUGCACCUGCCCAGAGGAGUAUUCACAGGCGUCUUUUGUCCAUAUUCAAGGUCUCUUUACAGGUCCAAAAAGCUUUUAA
Molecule: long non-coding RNA, 1350 nt
Filed under: Lepisosteus oculatus (spotted gar)
Lineage: Eukaryota; Metazoa; Chordata; Actinopteri; Semionotiformes; Lepisosteidae
Description: lncRNA (ENSLOCG00000023048.1)
Source: RNAcentral